AGCAUUUAUGUUAGGACCCGAAAGAUGGUGAACUAUGCCUGAGUAGGGCAAAGUCAGAGGAAACUCUGAUGGAGGCUCGAAGGGGUUCUGACGUGCAAAUCGAUCUUCAAACUUGGGUAUAGGGGCGAAAGACUAAUCGAACCAUCAAGUAGCUGGUUCCCUCCGAAGUUUCCCUCAGGAUAGCUGGAACUUAUGAAGAAGUAGUUUUAUCAGGUAAAGCGAAUGAUUAGAGGCUUUGGGGAAGAAACUUCCUCGACCUAUUCUCAAACUUUAAAUAGGUAAGAUUUGAAGGAUACUUAGGUGAUCUUUCAAUCUUUUGAAUAUAAAGUUCUUAGUUGGGCCAUUUUUGGUAAGCAGAACUGGCGAUGUGGGAUGAACCGAACGUUAAGUUAAAGUGCCAAAUAAUACGCUCAUGAGAUACCAUAAAAGGUGUUGGUUCAUUUUUGACAGCAGGACGGUGGCCAUGGAAGUCGGAACCCGCUAAGGAGUGUGUAACAACUCACCUGCCGAAUGAACUAGCCCUGAAAAUGGAUGGCGCUUAAGCGUAU
Molecule: ribosomal RNA, 548 nt
Filed under: uncultured eukaryote
Lineage: Eukaryota
Description: eukaryotic LSU rRNA
Rfam family: Eukaryotic large subunit ribosomal RNA
Source: RNAcentral